AUAUAUAUAUAUAUAUAUAUAUAUAUAUAUAUAUAUAUAAAGGGCCUAUUUAUCUUGCUUUCACAGUAUUUUCUUCAUUAUCAGUAUCUUUUAUUUCACUUUCGCUUUCAAUAUCUGAAAAUAUAUAUAUAUAUAUAUAUAUAUAAAGGGCCUAUUUAUCUUGCUUUCACAGUAUUUUCUUCAUUAUCAGUAUCUUUUAUUUCACUUUCGCUUUCAAUAUCUGAAAAUUAUUUCAGAUAUUAACGCAUUCUUUUAUGGUAUGUAUUAUAAUAAUUUUCAUUCCCACAGUCGUCAGAAUCUUCAAUUUUGUUUAUAUUGUCAAAUUCUUUCUCGCUUUCGCACAUAAUUUGUUUAUAUCAGAAUCCGAUUCAGAUUAAUUUUCAUUUAUACUGGUUAUUCUUUUUAUUUUUCUUAUCAUUCUUUUUAUUAUUCUUUUUUUUAUUAAUUCCAUGUCUUUUGAAGACUUGCAUAAUAUAACCGUAAUAAUAUAAUUAUAUAAUAAUUAAAUAAUAAUAUAAACGUAAAAAAGAAUUUUUUUUGAAUAGGUUUUGAAAAUAUCUUGAAAAAUUCAAAUUUUCAUUUACGAAAAUAAAUUUUUGCUAUGUUUCCAAAUAGCACUUAUUUUUUUUUUUUUUUACAAAACGCACUGUUGAAAUUAUUUCUCAUAAAUCUACUUGUUUUAUAAAAUAAUAAAAGAGAUUCAUUUAUAAAAAUUACUUUUCUCUGAAAAAUUCACCGUCGAAAGAAUUAUUUGUUUAUUAUAUCACAAUUAUGCAAAACAACUUUGAUUAUGUAUUUAUUGCUAAACAGUCAUCAUUUGUUUGGUGUUGUUUUUUUUAUUCAUUGUUAUUUCAUAUUUUUAUUAUUUUGCAAUAAUUGAUCUAUAUAAAUUAACCUGUCAAAUUGACGGAUUUUCGUAAAAAUACAACAUCUAGAAAUAAUAAAAUAUAAAUGUUUCAGAGAAAACGAAUAAAAAAAUAUAUUUGCUGCAUUUAAAAAUCAUUAAAAAUCGAAUAUAUAUUUAAAGAAUAACAUUUGCAUAUUCAGAAUUUUUAAGCAUAAAAUCGAAAACUCAUCAAAUUGACGAAUUCCGUAAAUCUACUAUUAAGAAGUUUUCUGAAAGUCUACAUAUUAUAGGAAGUUUAUUAAGAAUUUUUCUCAUCGAUGGCAAAAUCUUUGUAUCAUUUAAGUGAAAAUAAAAUUCAAUAUAGUUAAUGAAUUAAUGAUUGUCAGACAUUUCAAGAAUUAAAAAUAAAAUUGACGCAAUUUUUUGUUUUAGCGAAUUCUUUAAAAAAUAAAAAAUUUAUUUUAGAUGAUGGAUGUGUCAAGUUUUAAGAUCAAAACAAUCCUAUCCCAGGAAAGAACAGGAAAGUCAUCAUAAUUGUAUAUAUUGUAAACAUUCUUAAAAAAGAUCAAUUACUAUGUAACUUGUAAAGAAUUGUUAGUAAUGAAAUCAGUAGAACAUUUUCAGUACGAGCGAAAGUUUUUUUUAAGGAUUUGCAAAAUGUAGUUUUACGAUAUUAUAGUUUUAGUUUUUAGUUUAAAGGUUAAUGUUUUUCGUGAAUCUGACGAGACAAAUAGCCUAUUCAAUAAAAUGCUUAUAAAAACAUGAUUUUGAAAUUCAACAUUAAGAUAAAGUUUCUCGUAACAAUACUGAUAUUAUAUCAAGAAGACUUUGUAUUGAAAUAAAUUAUAAAAAAUAUUUACGCUAAGAAACCAAGGACAAAUUCAUAAAAGAAAAAGAUUUGUUUGAUAAUGAAUUGUGAAAUAUAAAAUUUAGAUUGUAAGUUAGCUUAUUGAAAAAUGAAAAAAUAGGAUUUAUUUUUUACUAUAUAAAAAGAAAGAAGAAAAUGAAAAUCCAAUGGCAAGAUAUAAUAUAGUUUUCGUCUAUCAUGAAAUACUAUUGGAAAAUAUGAGAUUUCCUGGAAUUAUAAAGAUUAUUAUUCCAAAAAUGAGAAUUAAGAAAUAACUUGAUUGUUAGUACUAUCUCGAAAGAAGAAUUCAAAAGUUUUAAAGAAAUGCCAUGAUUCAUCAGCAGUUGGAUACUUUGGAAAUAAAAUGUUAUCAAAAGGUCAAGAAAGAACUUCUUAAGAAAAAAGAGAGGAUUUAAAAAAUUUAUAAUAUUGGAGUAUUUGAGAGAACUUGAUGUACUUCCAAAAUCUGGAAAUUGAUUUGCAGUGAUGUGAUUGAUUAUUCACAAAGUGAUACUAAUGUCGACAAAUAUUUACAAUCGUCAAGAUGUUGCUCCAAUAUGUUGUUGUAAAAUCAAAAAAUUUUUCAAGAAUCAAUGAAAUUGCUUGGAAAAAGACAAGAACGACUCCACUAUAUCUUUAGUCAAAUAAUUAGCAGAACAUUUAAUUAAAAUUUUAUUAUAAUAUUUGUUAAUGUUUGUUGUAAAUUAAAAUAAUUGAAACAAA
Molecule: long non-coding RNA, 2417 nt
Organism: Apis cerana (Asiatic honeybee)
Lineage: Eukaryota; Metazoa; Arthropoda; Insecta; Hymenoptera; Apidae
Source: RefSeq, a predicted model, not a curated record